AAGUCGUAACAAGGUUUCCGUAGGUGAACCUGCGGAAGGAUCAUUAGUGGAUGGUUACAUGCGAUGCCCUCUGCGCGUGAGCGGUGGGGGGUGUUGGUGGGUGGGUGAGCGGGUAGUUUGCUGCUGCGACGAGCGGAAGCGAGCGAGUAGUUUGCUGCUGCGACGAGCGGAAGCGAGCGAGUGCUUUGCUGCUGCGACGAGCGGAAGCGAGCGAGUAAAAAGAAAGAAACAUGGCGUGUAGUAUAUGCGCAGAGUAUCACUUUUGACAAUGGAUCUCUAGGCUCCC
This 286-nucleotide unclassified non-coding RNA is filed under the name fungal sp. RNAcentral describes it as "partial internal transcribed spacer region". The stretch from base 1 to 46 matches the Rfam family "Eukaryotic small subunit ribosomal RNA", at positions 1786 to 1831 of the family's 1831-position model. Lineage: Eukaryota; Fungi. The record is from RNAcentral.